GUCACUAAGACACAAAAGAUGUUUACUUCUGACUUCCAGGUAGAGCUAUAUCAGGAUACUGCUGGAUUUCCAGUCAGAUGAACUUCAAAUCUGAUUCUGAUCUCACCAGAAGCCCCCACGCCCACCCUUGCCAUUUACCUGCAAGCAAGAACCAUUCAACACUCUGGUCUGAUAAUGGGAUCAUCAACAUUUGGAUCAAUGGCUGAGAAAAUCUGUGAAAAAUAACCUUAGAUUCUCUAGACCCACAGCCGAGAAUCUGCCCAGGAACCUUCUCUGAACUGCUUCCAAUAUUUUGACAAUGUGCCAAAUGUGACUUCACUACAUGAACUGAGUUCUAGGAAGAGUCACCAGACCUGAAGCAUCAACUGAUUUCCCUUCACAUUUACUGUCAGACUUGCUGAGCUUUUCCAGCAAUUCCUAUUUCUGAUUCAUGCAGCAUUUGCAAUUCUUUAAAAAAAAAUUGGUCUGAAGUUUGUAACUGUAAAUGGGUAUCUUGAAUUUUAAACCCUGUCAAUCCAACAUGAUAGGCUUUAAAUGACUGAAAAUGAGUUUAUUUAUAUUGUAGUGUUCUCGACACUUUUUCGAAUGAAAUAUUGUUUCAAAGUUUUAAAACAAGCCUAUUCAUGUUCUUGUCAUCUAAAGAAC
Long non-coding RNA from Stegostoma tigrinum, 645 nucleotides. RefSeq lists it as uncharacterized. NCBI's taxonomy places the organism in Eukaryota, Metazoa, Chordata, Chondrichthyes, Orectolobiformes, Stegostomatidae. The transcript has 4 exons. The record is from RefSeq and is a predicted model, not a curated record.